Molecule: long non-coding RNA, 1759 nt
Organism: Triticum dicoccoides
Lineage: Eukaryota; Viridiplantae; Streptophyta; Magnoliopsida; Poales; Poaceae
Exons: 4
Source: RefSeq, a predicted model, not a curated record
CCUGGAGCCUGGUCACCGGGAAAAAAGGGAGAGCGUAGCGGGAGGCCGGCCAACCGGGUUGCGGCGGCGACCGUGCUCCGACGACGGACUAACCAGUGAUGGAGGGGGAGGGUAUGGAGUUUCUAAUUGACGCUGUUGACAGGUUCCCCGUGCGUGAGGAAUUUGCGGACAGCCUUACAACCCAGAUCCAGUUCCACUACUUUUUCUGCUGGAGAAGGGGAGUGCGACUGAGGAUGUGGGUGAGGUCGAUGGCGUCACUGAGCUGACUCAAAUGGAGGAUGUAGGAGCAGCAGCGGCAACGCAACAAGGUGGCCAUGCUUUACGAGCUGAAUCUCCAACGAGGUCUGCUCAAUCAACAGGCAGAGUGAAUCCACAAGCCCCCGGUUGGACAAAAAGGCUCCAGCUUGGAAGUGCACCACCUGACCGGGUGGCUUGCCCGUCGAGGAUGAGCGCACUAGAAAUUUCAAUCCGCAAGUAUGCAGAGCAACCUGAUAAGAGCGUCGUUAAACCUGAGCUGGGACUUAGUUUUGAUUCGUUGGGCAAGGCAUAUAGUUUGGCAGCGGGAACAAUCUGGGCAUCCCCGUUGCCGUGCUGGACUGCAAAUCCAUGCCCCGCUGGGUGCCAUCCCGCUUGAUGCUGCGCAGCAAGGAUCUGCUCGUGGGUCAUCCUCCUGCAGUACGCGCGCUGGAACUCAAAGAAACGUCACUGAAGGGCCUGCCAAAGGAGAAGAGAAAAUCUCAAUCAUUAGCCAGAAACCAUGACCAGCCUGGUUACUAGUCCUCGCGAAGGCGGUCACGACCUCGUCGCUGCAGAGAGGGCAUGCCAUCAAAGGGAGCAGCCAAUCGGCUGGGACAGGAAGGGAAGAUGAAGACGAUGCGGACAUGGCAGCGCGGACGAGAUUGAACAAUGGCGAUGGCCAAGCAGGGGCGAGCUCGGGAGAGUAAAUGGAGAUGGGUGGUGUGCUGGCUAGAGUGAAUGAGCUGGUUGGGCUGGUGAGCAUUUAUGGAGCUGGCGCUCCGACGCCGUUUGUGCUGUGAAUCUUGCGUCAUACGGCUCAUGCAGGCUCAGAUGUGGUGCCGAGCCGUCGCACCUCCAACGGGGCCGCGACGUGCCGUCUCCAUAAAUGCACCUCUGACACGCGAGCCAGAAAAGAGAUAUACGGCCUGAAAAUACAUGAAGACACACAGAUCUUGGCGCAGACCAUCGGUGUGGAUUUCGGGAGCAGCUGAGCCCGAGCUCAGAAUCGAAUUUUCGGUUCUUGCCUCCAUGCGCACCCCCAGCCUUCUCUACUAGUUUUUACAUUGCCAUUUGCUCACUCUUUGCUGUCAUUCGCCAAUCUUUCUUCUAGGCCGGGCGAUGCCAGUUCUACGACUGGCAGGAGGGAUACGAGAUGUACCUGCUUCCUGACAAGGAUGCAGAGGUCACCGACGAGAGCCAUGCCCCCACUACAACAGCUCCACAUGCUGCCGCCCCUGCGGAGAUCUCUUUAGGAGCUCGAGUUAUCCAAGAUCUCAUCAGGGUCAACAUCAUGCUCAGCGUUACCAACCUGAUGGCUACGUUGCUGCUGCUAGCCAUUGGCAUGACUUCAUUCGCUUGGAUGUUCUUCUAUUGCUGAAUCCACCCAUCUCAUGUGUACUAGCUAGACUAAGAACAGGAAAUUUGCAUGUAAUCACACUCUAAUCUCCUUCUAAUCCUUAAGCAAUGUGUGUUGAUGUCAAUCCAUAAUUAAUCAAGUGCGGGGCCACUAAUUUACCAAUUA